This is a long non-coding RNA of Oreochromis niloticus (Nile tilapia), 1677 nucleotides long. RefSeq lists it as uncharacterized. The transcript has 2 exons. Lineage: Eukaryota; Metazoa; Chordata; Actinopteri; Cichliformes; Cichlidae. The record is from RefSeq and is a predicted model, not a curated record.
AGAGAGAAGGAAAGAGACGGAGAGACAUUGCAUAAGUGAGACAUGAAGGCUGCCGUGAGCUCAGUGACGUUCGGAUUGGCUCAAGCAAUCAGUUUGCUGCGAGCAAACACUCCGUCAAUCGAUGUCACCCAACUGAUAGACUGAUGUUUGCUCUCAAAAGUUUGUGCUCAUUUGUUUGACAUUUCAGCAAAGCUCCCCAAGAACUCUAUCUGACUCACAGGCAAACUCACGUCAUUAUCAGUGUCAUCAAAGUGAAUUUGGUGCAAGAUUUUCAUAGUGAUUUCUUGUAGUGUUUAACCAUGAGUGUUUGUAAGCCACCAAAAGUUUUAAUCCAGGAAUAACUCAGUUAAUUCCAAAUGCGACAGCGGCAGAAACUAAAGUAGCUCUCCAAAUGAACCACCGGAGAGGCAUGUGUUAAUCGAUGCCUACAGUGAGAUUAUCUCGUGUCAUUUGGAUGAGCUGCAGCGAUAUCUAACUCCCACCUUUCAUUGAUUGGAAACUGAGAGACAACAAAGUCAUGCGAUCAAGAGUGCACUAAAGCAAUUUAAUUUCCAUUUUCAGACAAAAUCCAAAAAAAAAAAAAAAAUUAUUUACAUAAAUAAAGCAAGGAUGUUGUUUUAUAGCCAGGAAUUUAUAUGUUAAUGGUUUAAAAGCUAGCAGCAGAUAAUCUUCUGGGACUGCUGUGUCACAUAUCAUGAGGUGACGUUGCCUAGCAACCACCUAUCAAUGGGCUAAGAUGACCCAUUUCUUUCUUUUUGGUUUUUUUUUUUUUUGGUGUUUAUGCACCUACAGCAAACCAGCUCCAGCAUCACUAUCACUUUGAUUUCACAACAAUACCAUCUGAUUUGUAUCCACAAAACCUGGAUGGUGUAUUACGUGGUUUGUGACGUCAUCACGUUGCCUAGCAACCGCCUACCAACAGACUAAAAUCAUAGCACGUGUACUGUGGCGUGGGCAUGUGCUGGUGAUACGAAAGUACAGGAUCACUUUGAUUGUCGUUUACUGCCUGCACUGUGAAAAGCGUGUCAGAGUUGUAGUUGCAGGUAAAUGAUUGUCACUCGGCUUUCUGCUUUAAUAGACUGCAGUAUGUUUUUUGGGUAAGCCUUAUUUAACAGAAAGAGUGCAGGUCAAGUUUCACUUACUGUGUGCUGGGUUGAUCUGACUAGCUAAGUUUUUAAUUAAAAAAGUUAAUUAAACCACGUGCUGCCAGGUGGCAUAAUAAAAUUAAGAUGUUAUUUAACUUGCACUUCUCUUUCUUCACUGUGCUUGAUGACAUUUCUCUGCACGCUUUACUGUCACAUGGGGCAAAAAAUCGGGGCAACCGCAUGGUUCAAUCAGCACAGCCACCUUUUUGCAUUACAAUAAGCAUGCAAAGUGUUCCAAACCAAAUGUUCCACAAAUAAUGAGCUUACAUUACAUUCUACAGGCUAGCUUUCAUAUUCUGGCUCAUAAAGACCUACACCUUGGCCAUCCACGAACUGCUGGACCAACUGAAGAAACAAACCCUAUAACUCAACCAGGAUGAAGAGCCAAACAACUCACCAUGUCAGUUCCCAGAUCAAUACAGAGGAUGGUGACGGUUCCCAGGGGCAGAGGGAUGUUGGCGAUGAUGAAGAGGAGGAAGGGUGAGAUCUCGGGGAUGUUGCUGGUCAGAGUGUAGGCGAUGGACUUCUUCAA